This 483-nucleotide ribosomal RNA is filed under the name uncultured bacterium. Its description in RNAcentral is "partial 16S ribosomal RNA". It matches the Rfam family "Bacterial small subunit ribosomal RNA", at positions 28 to 507 of the family's 1533-position model. The record is from RNAcentral.
GACGAACGCUGGCGGCGUGCCUAACACAUGCAAGUCGAGCGGGGAUUUAAGUGGAAGUUCUUCGGAAUGGAGAUUUGAAUUCUAGCGGCGGACGGGUGAGUAACGCGUGAACAAUCUGUCCCGGACAGGGGGAUAACACUUGGAAACAGGUGCUAAUACCGCAUAAGACCACGGCCUCGCAUGGGGCUGAGGUAAAAGGAGCAAUCCGGUUCGGGGUGAGUUCGCGUCCGAUUAGCUAGUUGGUGAGGUAACGGCCCACCAAGGCGACGAUCGGUAGCCGGCCUGAGAGGGUGAACGGCCACAUUGGAACUGAGAGACGGUCCAAACUCCUACGGGAGGCAGCAGUGGGGAAUAUUGGGCAAUGGGCGAAAGCCUGACCCAGCAACGCCGCGUGAGGGAAGAAGGUUUUCGGAUUGUAAACCUCUGUCCUAUGGGACGAAGGAAGUGACGGUACCAUAGGAGGAAGCCCCGGCUAACUACGUG